UACGUAGGGGGCAAGCGUUAUCCGGAUUUACUGGGUGUAAAGGGAGCGUAGACGGCAGCAUAAGUCUGAAGUGAAAUGCCGGGGCUUAACCCCGGAACUGCUUUGGAAACUGUGCAGCUAGAGUGCAGGAGAGGUAAGUGGAAUUCCUAGUGUAGCGGUGAAAUGCGUAGAUAUUAGGAGGAACACCAGUGGCGAAGGCGGCUUGCUGGACUGUAACUGACGUUGAGGCUCGAAAGCGUGGGGAGCAAACA
RNAcentral lists this ribosomal RNA (251 nucleotides) under uncultured bacterium. Its description in RNAcentral is "partial 16S ribosomal RNA". It matches the Rfam family "Bacterial small subunit ribosomal RNA", at positions 524 to 774 of the family's 1533-position model. The record is from RNAcentral.